This 682-nucleotide small RNA is filed under the name Pan troglodytes (chimpanzee). RNAcentral's name for it is "processed transcript". Lineage: Eukaryota; Metazoa; Chordata; Mammalia; Primates; Hominidae. The record is from RNAcentral.
GCCUCCCCUCCAGGGCCGGGUGGGGUGGGGCUGGCCAGGGUGUGACCACCGUGCCGGGCAGCAGGCUCCAGUCCCUAACCCCCAGCCACUACUGGCAUAAGGGGUCCCUCAGGGCCCCCAGGCCUCCUCUACGUCCCACACCUCCUCCUCUGCCUGUUCUGCCUCCUCCCACCGCUGCUCCAAUACGCAGCCGGGCAGAGCCAGAUGCCCAAAGACCAGCCCCUGUGGGCACUUCUGGAGCAGUACUGCCACACCAUCAUGACCCUCACCAACCUCUCAGGCUCAGGCUUGCCACUGAUAAUGAAGGGCUUGGCUGGGAGGCCACUCCCCAUUCCCAGCUCCCACGAUGGAAGUCAGCUGGGCUGGCAUUCAGGAGUCCAAGAAGGGGAUGACCCCUCAGCUUUCCAACUCCAGGGAAACUGGCAGAAGGUGCUAAACAUUCUCUGGUUGCCAUGGCUACAGGUGUGACUUCCUGGCUAGUCUUGAAUUCCUGUGCUCAAGCAAUCUGCCUACCUUGGCUUCCCCAAGUGCUGAGAUUAUGGGUGUGAGCCACUGCACCUGGCCAAGAAUCCGAAUGGAUUCAAAGAUACCUUGAAAUAAUUCCUCAAUGCAACACACACACAUAUGCCAGGGUUGGUCAAAUGGGAGAGAGCCUUGGCCUGAAGACAGGGACCUGGGCUUU